GCAUGGGUUUGGAUUUAUGGCCGGCCCAGCCCCAUUGGCCUCUCAUUGUGUCCCAUGCCAGAGCAAACUGUAGCCCUGAACCAUUGCCUUGCCUCUCAGCCCGUAGGCUUCUGAUACUGAAGUGGGUUGCACAGUG
This is a small nucleolar RNA of Echinops telfairi (small Madagascar hedgehog), 136 nucleotides long. RefSeq annotates it as small nucleolar RNA SNORA42/SNORA80 family. The record is from RefSeq and is a predicted model, not a curated record. The transcript has a single exon. Lineage: Eukaryota; Metazoa; Chordata; Mammalia; Afrosoricida; Tenrecidae.